Patiria miniata (bat star) is the source of this 397-nucleotide long non-coding RNA. RefSeq lists it as uncharacterized. The transcript is spliced from 3 exons. The record is from RefSeq and is a predicted model, not a curated record. NCBI's taxonomy places the organism in Eukaryota, Metazoa, Echinodermata, Asteroidea, Valvatida, Asterinidae.
GAAAUCCAAUUGUUUGUUUCAUCCCUCAGCUGCUAAGAAGAUAAGGAGGAGGCAUUGAAAGUACUCAACGGACACAAAUGGAAAGGACAGGUGCUCAAAGCCAAGCUCGCCAAGUCAGUUGAGGACCCGGACACUAAGAGCCUCGCUCGGAAGAGAAGCCAAGAGGAAUCUGAUGGAAACACCCAAGAAGCUAAGAGGAGGAAGGAGGAGGACAGCUGACCAGUAGAAGAGAGGUUAAACAACACAGUGACUCCACUAUGGAACCAGCUGUAUGAGGACCAGCUAUCCACCAAACAGACCAACACCAGGGAGUGUCUUGUCUUGAUGCAUGGCCAGUGUAUGGAAGGACGGCAACCGGCAUGUCAGGUGUGUUCAGGGUCUGUGACUGGUUCCUAUU